AACCACUUUAAUAUGAUGGAUUAGUAAGCUUUAAAUAUAGCUAAAUAUGGAAUUUUAAAUGAAUAAACUUCCAGUUUAAGAUUUUAAACAAUAUAUGAAAAUAUAAUUUAGAUAGUUUAAUAGUUUAGGUUUAUUAGGUGCCAGCAACCGCGGUCAUACCUAAUAAAUUAGCUUACUAUACUUAGUAAUUAAACAAUCUUAUAUAAAAUAAUAAAAAUAAAUAGUGAAAUAUUAUACUACUUUCUAUACCUUAUAUAUAAAUAAGGAAAAAACCCAUUGCUAAAACUAGGAUUAGAGACCCUACUAUUGUGGGUAAAAUUUAUUAUUACUAAGAAGUAUGACCACACUUAAAAACUUAAAUGUUAUGGCGGCUAAUUAAACCAAUUAGGGGAACUUACCAUAUAAUUGAUAACCACCAAGCGUAAAUUUACUUACUAUAAUAAUUUGUAUACCGUUGUCUUCAUUACCCCCUUAUAAGGAGGUUAAAAAUGUAUUACACGACUUUAAGACAAAUCAAGGUGCAGUCUAUUAGUAAGAAUUAAGGCGAGUUACAAUAACUAAUUUUUUCGGAAAGUUGUAUGAAAUUUUACAUGAAGAUGGACUUAAAAGUAUAUUAUAAAUUUAGAUUUAUUAUAAGAAUAUAUUUUUACUUAGUGUA
This 658-nucleotide ribosomal RNA is filed under the name Sericata abyssoclista. Its description in RNAcentral is "partial 12S ribosomal RNA". The record is from RNAcentral. Lineage: Eukaryota; Metazoa; Mollusca; Gastropoda; Stylommatophora; Clausiliidae.